Brassica rapa (field mustard) is the source of this 4633-nucleotide long non-coding RNA. RefSeq lists it as uncharacterized. NCBI's taxonomy places the organism in Eukaryota, Viridiplantae, Streptophyta, Magnoliopsida, Brassicales, Brassicaceae. The record is from RefSeq and is a predicted model, not a curated record.
AAUGUAAAAUUCAUAACAUAUAGUAAAACUUAUCUAAAGAUUUAAUAAAAAAAUAUCUAAAAGUUAAAAAUGUAAAAAAAACAAGAAAAUAUAAUACAAAAUUAUAUCUUAUCUAAUGAAAAUGUAAUAAUAAAUUUUUAGAUAAUUUUUAUUAUAUAAAAUUUUGUAUUUUUUUAUUUUUAAUGGUAAAGCCGCUCAACUAUGUUUACUUAAAUUUUGACAUUCAAUGCCCAAUUAUUAACUUACUACCUUUUUAUUUUAGGUCAAAAUAUUCAAUAGGCUUUUUGUUUAAGAUAUAAGAAUUGUGUUUAUCAAAGAGAAACAUAUCUUGGUUGUUAUUUAAAUAUAAUAUUAAAACACAAAGAGGAGAACAUAUUAAUGUUUUUUCACAAAAUAAUAUUUAGUUAAAUUUAAUUUUUAAAGCUUUAAGCAUUAUGAAAAAAUUUAAUUUAAAAAAUAUAAUAGGAUAAAUAUGUAACAUUUUAAAUCAUUUUCAACAUCUAUAAAUAUUUUUAAAACAUAAACCAUCAACAAAAUUAUAAUUAUAGUAUUAGCUAGUAAAAUAUUUAAAACACAUCUUAUAACUAAUAGAUAUUUUUCAGUUUAAAAUAAGUUUUAAAUUGAAGAAAUUCCUCGCUUUGAAUGCGCGGGUCAAAAUCUAAUUUUACUUAUUCUUCCUUCUCAUUAUGCGAGUAAAUAAGAACUUAGUUUACAUGAUUUGUUUUUAUGACAUAAAAAACUACUUUAUUACUCAAACUAGAGGUGGUCUGGGAUUUCAGACCAGAAUAGAACAACCAACCAAUGUUAACACGCGUCGAAAAUUCCGAGCUAUCCUAGCUAAACCAUCUUCUGUUCAGUUAUGCUCUCUUGGUAAAUGAGAAAUUUUGAAAUCCGGUUAUCGUGUCUUUAGUACUGCUUCCUACCCAAGCUCCAUGGAGACACUUGGCCAUGCUUUCGGGUUCUGAAUCAUCGCUAAAACAUCUUUGCAGUCCGCCUCAAAGUGUUGGUAAUUCGUGUGCUGAGGCAUUACGUCCAUUGCCCAAAUUAACACCUCCAGUUCUGAGUGCAAUGAAAACAUACGAUUUUAUUUGUUCCUAAAUCCCAACAGUUCUCGUUUCCUGAUCUAACCAUCCAUACCCAAUCAUAACCACUGUACGAUCCGUUGUUUGGUGACAUGUUUGAGUAUCCUACAGUAUCUUUGAAUUUGCAUUAAACUAUGCAUGGCAUUCACUCUCAGUGUGUCGAAUCAACUCAAGUGGGUCACAUGUGAUUCCUCUGAAAAGUUUAUCGUUACGAGAUUUUCAUAAAUACCACAUAAUCCAAGGAUAAUGGUCUUUAUCUAGUUCCGGAUUUCGUUCUUUAUCCAGAACAAAUAAUCCAUGUUGGUAUAUAUGCUCAUUGUUGGGAAAGUACCCGUACACGAUGGUGUCAAAGCAAGGGCCCAAGUCUGCAAGGCAGGUGUUCAUUCAAAAAUUUCAUUGUUGACUGAUUCAUUGGUUCUCCAAAAAUCUAGGACAAUGACUAUCGCAACGCAUAUAACAUCGCGUUAAAUUCCCUGUAACUACUACAUAUCCAGACACCAACUGCCAUAUAAGAUGAUAUAUUUUAUGUGGAGCAUUGAUUUUCCAGGCAAAGACUUUUAACUUAGAGGUUGAUUGUUUGAAGUUUUUGAAGUGGUUUUUGGCCUUUUUUUCUAAUGACCAUUUCUUAGACAGUCAAGAUUUUAGAGAAAUAGAUUCCUUAUAAUCUAGGGGAACUAGUUUUUUUCAAAUAACUAUCUUUUACAAAGAAAAACCAAAAUUCAAAUUUUAAUGGUUUCUUUGAAAUCCAAUGCAGUUAUUCAAUUGUUUGCUCAACAUCCCAAAUAUUUGGAGUCCCAUGAAUUAUUUCGCUCACUGUCACCCGAGAAUCUAGCACCAGGUGGAUUGAUUUAGCAGGUAUAGCAGGGAUAGAGAGAAUCCAAGGAUCUUCCCAAACAUUUAUCUGGUAUUCUGAGUGCACUUUAUGAUUGAUCCAUAAUCGUAAUAGAGGUCUAGGAGCCAUCAAACUUGUCCAAACAUAAGAUGGAGAAUUUGUAACUACCUGUCGGAAAGACGAGCUUGGGCGAUAAUACAUUCCUCACAAAACUCUCGCAAGGAUAGAAUACAGAAAUUGGAUUAAUCUCCACAGUUAUUUUGCCAAUAAUGCCCCCAUUAAACUCGUGACUAAGUCUGAAAACCGAUAGUUUCUUCAUUUUUUGGACUACAUAGUUUGGUGGAUUGGAAUUCCUGCGCUUGUCAUUUUUUUUACAAAUCUCCAAAGGGAAAAGAAAGGUAGACAUUACAUACGAAAGAAAUGCUAAUGCUAUAGCUUUUAUCAUGAUAUUCCACCUUGUGACAGCCAUUAGGCCGACCAACCAUUGAUUCUAUGAUCAAGUCUAUCUUUAUAGAGAAUAAAGUUUAAAUGUGUUUUUUUGUAUAAAUUUCAGACUUAAAGUAUUAAAUUAUUUUAUAUAUUAAUUACAUUUUCAGUUUGUUAUUUUUAAGGUUGUAUAAAAUUUUGGUUAUUGAAACAUUUUAUUUGUUGUUUUUUUUGUAAAGAAUACGUAUAUUAUUUAUAAAAUAUUUCGAAAUUCAAUUUGGUUAAACCUGGUGAAAUCAUAUUGACCCAUGACCUAAAUUCUUUACAGUUUGGUUACCGGUCCGAUUUUAAAAACAUUGCAAAUCUUCCAUUGACUUGUCUGAUUCAGUUGAUUUUGAAGUUGUAUAAAGAUCUUGACUUGGCAAAUCUUCCAUCAACUUCUUCUCCACAAUUCCGACGAAGAAAACAAAACUUUAAUAAUUAUUUUUAGCGAACCAACAAAAGCGUUAGAGAUACAAAAGCCAUAGACCAGAAUACUGACAAAGGAAGAAAUAGACAAGGCUUAAUACUGCCAUGAGAACUGGGUCAUGUCGUGAAGAAAAAUUUCCAAACGCAAUUGUAAGAACUGUUAAGGUAUCAGACUAGGUUCGAUUACGAUCUUGAUCCGGUUCACUUAGUCAAUUAUAAGCCUAAUCUUGAUCUUAACUAGUGAUGGAUCUUCAAAACAAAGUAAUGCGAUCAACACAAGGUUUUGUUUACCCAGUCUUUGUUUUCUACUGACUGGGGAGAGAACAAAACUCUCUUGCACUUCACUAUCGAUCAAUGUGAUAUAAUAGUUCAAGAUCUCACCCGAUCUAUCUUCUUUGUACAGGUAUUACAAGGAGAUUUACCGAGAACUGUUCGGAGAAGAGUACCAAAGUGACUGCGACGAAGACGACUCACUAUCAGCCUCCGAUUCCUCUGAUAAUGAAGAGGACACGCAGAAUGAUCCGUAGAAAGCUCCUUGACCUCAAGAGCUGCGAUCAGCUACCGGAUAUCUCUAUCUCGAUCAAGCUUUCUCCUCCGCUUUGAUACUUUCUCUCAAUCUCUGUAUCUCUUUCUCUUUGUAACUCUGUUGUAUGAUACUCUCUCUCUCUUCUCUGUUUCGAGAAAGAAGAGAUAGACCGUUAGAACAUGGAUCCCGCUUUUUAACCGUAACCUUAUCCUCUAGCUGGAGCUGGGCCUUUUAUCUCUUUAGCUCGGCCUGCAUCUUCUAUCAUAUCCCAGAAGCCCAACACACAGUCCAAACCCCUAAAACGACAACACCUCACAAGAACCAUCAAGCCGAAUCAUUUCCUUCUUGAUGUUUUUCAUUUCUUGAAACACAAAAAAAAAAAAACAUCAAGCCGAAAUAUUUUUUUUUCGUCACCAGUAGUCAAGAGUUAUAGUUCUUAAUGGGAUGAGAGUAACAGUGAAAAUGACGUCGAAUCCUUCCGUCGCCCUUAGUGUCAUUCACAUCCCUUCUCUGCAGUGAAAAGAACGAGUGAAUCAUUUCCUUCUUGAUGUUUUUCUUAGAACACUUCUCUUGUGAACUCUUUUCUGCAGAGUUACUAUGGAACUAGUAAGAGUCUUUAGAGAAGAAUAAAAGCGAAUUUUCACAACUGUGAAUUUUCGUUGAAUAUUUGAUAUCCGAGUCUGGCCAAUUUCCAGACUUUAUACUGUAUCACAUGUGGGAAGACAACAUAUUCUAGUUUAGUUUUUACUGUUAUUUGUUGUGAUUUGUUUUACUCAUGAAGCCACAUGUAGAUUCAUGUAUAGUUGUGGUUAGGUAAAGAUGUGUAAUAUACUCAUGAAGCCACAUGUAGAUUCAUGUAUAGUUGUUAAGAUACCGUUCUUAUGUUUAGGUAAAGAUGUGUAAUAUACUCAAGAAAGGUCUUUCAAAAGCUUAACAUAAUGCUUGCUGAAAAAAAAAAUGAAAACCAACCUAUCAGUACACAUGACUUUUCAAAUCUAUCACUUGUGGACUGGACAGUGCUACUAAUUCAUAUUUAUUCUUUUAUCAGAUUCGUUCAAUGAUAUACUACUCUCUUUAAUUAGUUACUUAUAAGAGAAGCCAUAAGCAUUAGCAUCAACCAAACCAUACACAAGAUGAAUGCCAAAAUCUCUAGAAGAAAUGUGAUACAUAGAACAUACAAAAUAACAUAUAGCAUUACUAUUAUUUUAACUGAUCGCCACAAUACCUAUCAGUUUUCUAGGUUUUAUUAUACUCGGAAUCUGGAGAAAAAUGAAACAUAGAACAUACUCUUAACACAGA